AUUGAACGCUGGCGGCAGGCCUAACACAUGCAAGUCGAGCGAGCGGCGGACGGGUGAGUAAUGUCUGGGAAACUGCCUGAUGGAGGGGGAUAACUACUGGAAACGGUAGCUAAUACCGCAUACCAUCAGAUGUUCCCAGAUGGGAUUCGCUAGUAGGUGGGGUAACGGCUCACCUAGGCGACGAUCCCGAGCUGGUCUGAGAGGAUGACCAGCAACAUUGGAACUGAGACACGGGCCAGAGUCCUACGGGAGGCAGCAGUGGGGAAGAUUGCACAAUGGGAGAAAGCCAGAGGUAGCCAUGGCGCGUGGGUGAAGAAGGCCUUGGGGUUGGAAAGCACUUUCAGCGGGGAGGCGUUACCCGCAGAAGAAGCACCGGCUAACACUGUGCCAGCAGCCGCGGUAAUAC
Molecule: ribosomal RNA, 406 nt
Filed under: uncultured bacterium
Lineage: Bacteria
Description: partial 16S ribosomal RNA
Rfam family: Bacterial small subunit ribosomal RNA
Source: RNAcentral